UCACGAUUUACACCGGCAGUUUUGUUAGAGUCCCCGGCUUUACCCGAUGGCAACUAACAAUAAGGGUUGCGCUCGUUAUAGGACUUAACCAAACACUUCACAGCACGAACUGAAGACAACCAUGCAGCACCUUGUAUUACGUCUUAUAGACUAAGUUGUUUCCAGCUUAUUCGGAAUACAUUUAAGCCUUGGUAAGGUUCCUCGCGUAUCAUCGAAUUAAACCACAUGCUCCACCGCUUGUGCGGAACCCCGUCAAUUCCUUUGAGUUUCAAUCUUGCGAUCGUACUUCCCAGGUGGAUCACUUAUCGCUUUAGCUUAGCCACUGAAUAUAGUCUUUCCAAUAGCUAGUGAUCAUCGCUUAUGGCGUGGACUAU
Molecule: unclassified non-coding RNA, 374 nt
Filed under: uncultured Flavobacteriales bacterium
Lineage: Bacteria; Pseudomonadati; Bacteroidota; Flavobacteriia; Flavobacteriales
Description: contains 16S-23S intergenic spacer region
Source: RNAcentral